UACAGAGGGGGCAAGCGUUGUUCGGAAUUACUGGGCGUAAAGGGCGCGUAGGCGGCCUUCUAAGUCGAACGUGAAAUCCCCGGGCUCAACCCGGGAACUGCGUCCGAUACUGGAAGGCUUGAAUCCGGGAGAGGGAUGCGGAAUUCCAGGUGUAGCGGUGAAAUGCGUAGAUAUCUGGAGGAACACCGGUGGCGAAGGCGACAUCCUGGACCAACACUGACGCUGAGGAGCGAAAGCCAGGGGAGCAAACGGG
Molecule: ribosomal RNA, 253 nt
Filed under: uncultured bacterium
Lineage: Bacteria
Description: partial 16S ribosomal RNA
Rfam family: Bacterial small subunit ribosomal RNA
Source: RNAcentral